Non-coding RNA from Callorhinus ursinus (northern fur seal), 664 nucleotides. NCBI's taxonomy places the organism in Eukaryota, Metazoa, Chordata, Mammalia, Carnivora, Otariidae. The record is from RefSeq and is a predicted model, not a curated record.
UAAUGAUUUUAACCGGGUGAUAAUAUAUAUAUUAUCAUAAAUCAGAGUGAAUAUUCAUUAAAAAUUCCCACCCAAGAACUGUUGCAAAGCAUUUCUAAAUAAGCACAAAGAAACACUGAAAUAUUUUCUAGGACCCAGAGCAAAUCACCACAAAAAUUUUAACUCACUCUAUUAAGAAUUUUUACCAUAAGAAAUAUCUUUCAAUUUAUGAUCAAAGUAAGAGAGUAUAAAGUUAUCCAGAAACCUUUAAAUCAAUUGUGCUGAACAAUUUGUAUUUAAAUAAAUAGAUAGACAUAGAUUUAUUUUGAAGGAUCAAGUUUUUCUUCAAUUGCUUACAUAAAUAUCAAGAGCAAAUACUUUUUUAAAGGCAAUGAUAGUUUUCCUGAAAUUUAUACUUAUUUUUAGAAAAAAAACAUAAAAAUCUAAUUAUCUAUGUCUGCAAAUCUUACUUAUCCUUUUAAGUUCUGAGGGACGUUUUGUAAUUCAAUGUAUGAUUUGGGAAGUUAUUAAUGUUUUAAAUUAUAUUUUUCUUUAUUAGCAACAAAUGAGUUUGAUUGUAGGCUUGAUUUUAAUGUGUUACAAUUGAGUUUAGUGAUCAUAGGAAGUAUUAGGCUUUUGGGCAUCAAAUUUAUAUUUCACCUUGAAAGCUUCAAAGACAUUGCUC